AUUGAACGCUGGCGGAAUGCUUUACACAUGCAAGUCGAACGGCAGCACGGGUGCUUGCACCUGGUGGCGAGUGGCGAACGGGUGAGUAAUGCACCGGAACGUAUCCAAUAAUGGGGGAUAACGCACCGAAAGGUGUGCUAAUACCGCAUACGCCCUGAGGGGGAAAGCGGGGGAUCGUAAGACCUCGCGUUAAUGGAGCGGCCGAUGCCGGAUUAGCUAGUUGGUGAGGUAAAGGCUCACCAAGGCGACGAUCCGUAGCUGGUCUGAGAGGACGACCAGCCACACUGGAACUGAGACACGGUCCAGACUCCUACGGGAGGCAGCAGUGGGGAAUUUUGGACAAUGGGCGCAAGCCUGAUCCAGCCAUUCCGCGUGAAUGAAGAAGGCCU
This 389-nucleotide ribosomal RNA is filed under the name uncultured bacterium. Its description in RNAcentral is "bacterial SSU rRNA". It matches the Rfam family "Bacterial small subunit ribosomal RNA", at positions 30 to 417 of the family's 1533-position model. The record is from RNAcentral.